This is a non-coding RNA of Camelina sativa (false flax), 3063 nucleotides long. NCBI's taxonomy places the organism in Eukaryota, Viridiplantae, Streptophyta, Magnoliopsida, Brassicales, Brassicaceae. The record is from RefSeq and is a predicted model, not a curated record.
GUUCUUCAUCAUUUCCUGAAAACUAGAGAAACACAGUUUAAAGAGAACCCAACAACAACAACAAAAAAGCAAUACUGUCUCUUUGAGAUCACAGAAACCCUAAUUUUUAUUAAGAAACCCUAAUCUCAAUCUCCAGAUUCUGUAUGUAAAUGCAUCUGAAGAAUUCAACUGUAGCAGAACGGCGGUACAUCGGAAAAGAAACCGCCGGUUGUUUAUCUACUUCCUCCGAUUUGGAUCCAAAGCCUAAGAUUAAACAUCAUCAUCGCCCUCUUCAGGUACCUGAGAUUCUCACCCCAGACAUUGGUGGGUUCAGUGUGUUCAACAAUCAAGUUCAACAAGCUCAGAGUCGUCAUCAUCUGACGGUUGAAAUCCCAGAUUCGUCGUCUCGGAAUCUUACUUCCAAGAGACCUGUGGUGGUUACGGCGGCGGCUCGAUCUUCUAAUCCGUUCAACGUUGACGAUUUCAGAAGACAACGCGGAAGCUUUGGUUCGAUUUCGUCUUAUUGUCCGUCGUAUCUUUUGUCGUGGUUCUCUUCAUCUCUUCCAUCGAUCCCAUCGGCGACUAAUCAGAAGCUUCUCCGUCAUGUUCUUAGAGUCCGUUUGAUAUGUUUCCAUCUUCGUUUCUUACUUCUUCUCUCUGUUCCUCCUCUUUACAUCUUCUUCUUGUUGAUUAGUUUCAGAUUCUUCCUUCUUUUCGUCUUUUCGGUUAUCGCUUUUUCUUUUGUCCUUUCGAUCUCUCUCAAAUUCGCUCUUCCUCACUUACCAUCGAUUCGUUUGAUUAUCGCUCGGUUGCUGUCUCUCAAGCUUACCCCUACCAGAUCCUCGUCUACAUCUCAGGAGAGUACUAAACAUGUUGUUUGGUCAAUUGGGUCGAAGCCUGUGACUGAGAAGAAGACUAACUCUGGCUCAUGGGUUCAGAAGUACAGCUCUGGUGAUGUUUACGAGGGAGAGUUUCAUAGGGGCAAGUGUUCAGGGAGUGGUGUUUAUUACUAUUCUAUGAAGGGUAAAUACGAAGGGGAUUGGAUUGAUGGGAAGUAUGAUGGAUAUGGAGUAGAAACAUGGGCUAAAGGAAGUAGGUACCGAGGUCAAUACAGGCAAGGGAUGAGACAUGGAACUGGAAUCUACAGGUUUUAUACAGGGGAUGUGUAUGCUGGUGAGUGGUCUAAUGGACAGAGCCAUGGCUGUGGUGUGUAUACCUCUGAGGAUGGUAGUCGUUUUGUUGGAGAGUUUAAAUGGGGUGUUAAACAUGGCCUUGGUCAUUAUCAUUUCAGAAAUGGUGAUACAUAUGCUGGGGAGUAUUUUGCCGACAGGAUGCAUGGUUUUGGAGUGUAUCAAUUUGGAAACGGGCAUCGGUAUGAAGGAGCUUGGCAUGAGGGGAGAAGGCAAGGGCUUGGUAUGUACACGUUCAGGAAUGGUGAGACACAGGCAGGCCAUUGGGAAGACGGAGUUCUCAGCUGUCCUACCGAGCAGACCACUCGUCCUGAUUCAUCGUUUUCCAUCAGUCAUUCCAAGGUUCUCGACACUGUCCAGCAAGCAAGGAAAGCAGCCGAUAAAGCACGUGAAGUUGUGAAAGUUGAAGAGAGAGUGAACAGAGCAGUGAUGGUCGCAAACCGAGCAGCAAAUGCUGCUAGAGUUGCUGCUACGAAGGCUGUCCAAACCCAAACAUUUCAUUGUAGUAGUGGGGACGAUCCUUUGUGAGUUCCUGUGGCAAAGAUUUUGACAUAAUCGCAGUCAUGACCACACCUCGAACAUCUUCGAAGACACAAGAGUGAAGAGAGAGACGCUUAGAGAACACAGCCAACAAAAUUCGCAAUCUCCGUGGAGAUUUUCUUGAAGGUGAACCACUUGGAACCAAGGUCGAGAUCUCAUAAGUAAUAAUUAAGAGAUCUGGCUAUGGAGCAAGCAAUACAGAUAGAAGAUGACAUGAGAGAAUUCCAAAUACAAUCAACUUGAGAAGAUUAAAGAUAUCUGGUCUAUGACUAGGUUCAAGUACAACAAACGGUCAUACAUAUGGUUAUAUAUAUAACAUCCACACCAUAAAAACCUAAACUGCAAAUAUUAUAGAAGAUGGAGCAGAACCACUUAGUUGAUACAAGAUUGCGUCAAUUUCAUCUCCAUCCUUAAGCUCCAGCUCAUCCGGUGUAUGAUACUCUCGAAUCCUGGAACCAUCCAAAAGAAAGCGAAAUGUGUUCCACUCGACGCCUCUCAUUUCGGUGUAAUGUUCCACCAACCUAAGCAACUUAGCGUUCCUUCUCACCUUAAACACUCGAACCCUAUCCUCGUCCUGACCCUUGACGUUUAGAGUAACAUGGGUAGACGACUACGACUCCGAGGCAACUUUAGGCUUUUCCCCUUCUUUCUUCACCUUACUUGUUCCAUAAACUCUGCUCAGCAGAUCAUAAGGAGCGAUCCUUGGACGAGUUGUCUCAGAUCGCAACUUCGAUUGCAGAAUUGAAGUGUUGUCGCCGAUUUGGCUACCUUCUUCGGACAUUUUUUUUUUUUUUGGCGCAGAACAGUAUUACGACAGAAGGUCAAAAGAAAAGAGCUAAGAAGAGAUCGAACAUGACUUAAAUGGGCUGGGCUCAAAUAUUAGCGUAGGCCCAUAAAGUGAUUCUCUCCCGCUCUAAACUCUUUCUAAUCCUCAGGAGAGAAAGAAAUGAUGAUCGGAAAAUUGAAUUCCCCCAAACAUCACAGAAAAGAUGCAGAAAUCGUUCUCGUUGAUCCAAACGGUUGCAAUCUCCGGCGUAUUCUCCGCCGUCUCAUGCUGGUAUGGAUUCAUGUUCGGUAGAGAGUCCGCGAGAAAAGAGCUCGGCGGUUUAAUCGAAGAGCUCCGUCGUGGAAGUUCCAAUUCUGACUCUACUCCACCACAUUCCUGAGUUAGACAUUCCGAUUUCCCCAGGCGCUUUCGUUAUCUGUGUUGCUAACUGCUAAGUUAGUUUCCGAUUUCGAUUCAUCUUCCUGUGAAAUUUCCAUUUAUGUCACUUUCCAGAAUGUUCAUGAUUUUUGAGCAACUGUUGUAUAAACGAUGUGUUCAUGAGUUAAUUUAACUAUGAAAUUGUUUGAA